RNAcentral lists this long non-coding RNA (1117 nucleotides) under Vigna radiata. Its description in RNAcentral is "long non-coding RNA (VRAD_LNC011433)". Lineage: Eukaryota; Viridiplantae; Streptophyta; Magnoliopsida; Fabales; Fabaceae. The record is from RNAcentral.
AUCUAGGGAGAAUGGAGAGCUGGGAAGUAAUUUUUGUGUAGAAGAAUUUCCAUAAGUUUUUCUUCAAAGCUCUCUUUGCUGAGAGAACAUCUUAUGUCUUGUAACAUUCUAUUUCAAAGUUUGAAUGCAUAUUCUGUUUAUGUUAUCUUACUCUCUGUACGUGAUUUUGAAAACAUAACUGCAACCACACCAGAGGUCCAAAUGGUACGUUUUAUAUGUCAUAUGAAAGAUAUUUGAGUCUACUUUCCAUGAAAAAAAACCUCAUCUCAUUUAGAGUUCUGUAGAAAAAGUUAUGGGUAAAACAUUGAGCAAAGGUCAGAGCUGUCCAGUUUUCGGAUUUUUGUGUUUUGGGUGUUUCUGUACGCGAUUUUAAAAAAAUAACUGCAACCACACCAGAGGUCCAAAUGCUACGUUUUAUAUGUCAUAUGAAAGAUAAUUGAGUCUAUUUUCCAUGAAAAAAAACCUCAUCUCAUUUAGAGCUCUGUAGAAAAAGUUAUGGGUAAAACAUUGAGCAAAGGUCAGAGCUGUCUAGAAAGGAAUGGGUAUCACGUUUUCUUGUGUUUGAAUGAAGGGAAAAUAUUUUCUUAUCAUUUUGCUUCUUGUGCAGUAAAAAAUGAAUAAUCUUUUCUAGAAUUUCUUUGGGUUCUCACGGUUUUCACUUUUAUUUGGUCAAGCAAAAUAUUUUUCUUUUCUUUUAAGAUCAUUCAUGUGCUCACGGUUUCAACUUCUUGAAAGCAAAGUUCAUGUUUCUUUUCUUCAAUUUAUUUUAUGAAAAGUAAUUGUUUUUCUAGAAGAAGUGGGGUAAUGGCUGAAAAAUUUCCUUGACUUGGAUGGACACAAAUACAUUGGUAAGAGACAAAAGACACUUCCAAAUUCUUCUUAACAUGACUCAUGGUGGGACUUGGUGAUGAGAUGUUCCUUUGCCUAAUUGACUAAAAGAAAUGAAAAUACUAAAUGAUGGUGCAAGGUUAUGAGGUAAAUUCUAAAAUUGAUGCAAUCUUAAUUAAUGAAACACUGAGAACUCCAUAAGUCAUGAACAAAGAAAAUUAAUUUGUAGCAUUUUCAGUUUCUUUAAACACUUGGUGACAUGAAAAUAAAAAAAAAAGAAUUUAUUUCU